Molecule: transfer RNA, 85 nt
Filed under: Felis catus (domestic cat)
Lineage: Eukaryota; Metazoa; Chordata; Mammalia; Carnivora; Felidae
Also listed under: 4 other names
Rfam family: tRNA
About the family: Transfer RNA (tRNA) molecules are approximately 80 nucleotides in length.
Source: Rfam by way of RNAcentral
GCCUGGGUGGCUCAGUCGGUUGAGCGUCCGACUUCGGCUCAGGUCAUGAUCUCACAGUUUGUGGGUUCGAGCCCCGCAUCAGGCU